CACGUUAAGGUGGGCACUCUAAGGAGACUGCCGGUGACAAACCGGAGGAAGGUGGGGAUGACGUCAAGUCAUCAUGGCCCUUACGGCCUGGGCUACACACGUGCUACAAUGGUCGGUACAAAGGGUUGCCAAGCCGCGAGGUGGAGCUAAUACCCAUAAAACCGAUCGUAGUCCGGAUCGCAGUCUGCAACUCGACUGCGUGAAGUCGGAAUCGCUAGUAAUCGUGAAUCAGAAUGUCACGGUCGAAUACGUUCCCGGGCCCUU
RNAcentral lists this ribosomal RNA (264 nucleotides) under uncultured Pseudomonas sp. RNAcentral's name for it is "partial 16S ribosomal RNA". It matches the Rfam family "Bacterial small subunit ribosomal RNA", at positions 1122 to 1382 of the family's 1533-position model. The record is from RNAcentral. Lineage: Bacteria; Pseudomonadati; Pseudomonadota; Gammaproteobacteria; Pseudomonadales; Pseudomonadaceae.